Molecule: ribosomal RNA, 266 nt
Filed under: uncultured bacterium
Lineage: Bacteria
Description: partial 16S ribosomal RNA
Rfam family: Bacterial small subunit ribosomal RNA
Source: RNAcentral
GCAAGUCGAGCGAGAAAGUGUCCUUCGGGGCGCGAGUAAAGUGGCGAACGGGUAGUAUCGCGUGGGUAAACUACCUUUCGGCGUGGGACAACGGCUCGAAAGGGCCGCUAAUACCGCAUACGUCGGUGACCUCCAUGGAGGUUCCCGGGAAAGGAUGGCCUCUGCUUGCAAGCCGUCGCCGAAAGAGGGGCCCGCGUCCCAUCAGCUUGAUGGUAGGGUAAUGGCCUACCAUGGCUUAGACGGGUAGCUGGUCUGAGAGGAUGAUC